UACGUAGGGGGCAAGCGUUGUCCGGAAUCAUUGGGCGUAAAGCGCGUGUAGGCGGCCCGAUAAGUCCGCUGUGAAAGUCCAGGGCUCAACCCUGGGAUGCCGGUGGAUACUGUCGGGCUCGAGUCCGGAAGAGGCGAGUGGAAUUCCUGGUGUAGCGGUGAAAUGCGCAGAUAUCAGGAGGAACACCAAUAGCGAAGGCAGCUCGCUGGGACGUUACUGACACUGAGGCGCGAAAGCGUGGGGAGCAAACAGG
This 253-nucleotide ribosomal RNA is filed under the name uncultured bacterium. RNAcentral describes it as "partial 16S ribosomal RNA". It matches the Rfam family "Bacterial small subunit ribosomal RNA", at positions 524 to 776 of the family's 1533-position model. The record is from RNAcentral.